CGAAUCCGCGCGGGAGAGUCCGAGCCACACCUUGAGCUCGGCGCCGAAGGAGCAAGUCCUCCCCGGAACCUCUCAGGCACCCUGGACCGCGCGGACGAG
RNAcentral lists this non-coding RNA (99 nucleotides) under Amycolatopsis mediterranei. RNAcentral's name for it is "Glycine sequence". It matches the Rfam family "Glycine riboswitch aptamer". Rfam says of the family: This family represents the bacterial glycine riboswitch. RNAcentral also lists the same sequence under 1 other name. Lineage: Bacteria; Bacillati; Actinomycetota; Actinomycetes; Pseudonocardiales; Pseudonocardiaceae. The record is from RNAcentral.